UUACGGUCAAAUCACGCUGAAAACACCGGUUCUCGUUCGAUCACCGAAGUUAAGCAUCGUAGAGCCAGGUCAGUACUUAG
Molecule: non-coding RNA, 80 nt
Organism: Acanthosepion pharaonis
Lineage: Eukaryota; Metazoa; Mollusca; Cephalopoda; Sepiida; Sepiidae
Source: the annotation of a GenBank genome assembly